AAUUGAUUAGAGAUAUGGCCACGUUUUUUUUUCCACGCUUCAAAAACGUGGCUAUAGAGUGAAACAGGAUCGUUUUAUAAGCGUGGCAACAGAUCUUCAUUAUGGUUGCGGUUAUGAAGCGUGCAUUCGUCUCUGCUGGGCAUCCCCUUUCAAUCUCUCUCUCUCUCUCUCUCUUGGAAUAGCUCCACAAGAUCCCAGCCCCUUCAAUUUUGAUACAAAGACUGCAGGGAAAGCCAGUCACGUGAAGAGGGAGGAUAGUUGUCAGGUAGUUGCUAAACAAAGAACAAGUAAAAAAGGUGUGACAACAGAAGCUUAAGAAGGGAGAAAAGCCCCUGCUGAGGGGUGUGUGUGAUAUUCACAAAGCUAGUCGAUUUUGCCACUGAACUGAUCUGUAAAGAACUCCAAGCACUGAAACCACUACUUAGCCAGGGACAACCACACUAUUACUAACUUGGAUGAAUUGAAGCUGAAGUUGUAUGUACGAAUAUAGAUUUUGGAUGAAUACAACCGUCUUCUAACAUCUCAGUUGGAAACUCAAAGACAAUAUUAUGAAUCUUUGCUGGCAGAGGCAAAAAGCAAAGUGGACAGUUCUGUCUCUGAAGUAGUUGAGAAAGCUGUAACUUCUUGAUUGCAG
This is a non-coding RNA of Arachis ipaensis, 634 nucleotides long. NCBI's taxonomy places the organism in Eukaryota, Viridiplantae, Streptophyta, Magnoliopsida, Fabales, Fabaceae. The record is from RefSeq and is a predicted model, not a curated record.